CCAGCCCUGGUCCCGUGGAUGGUACAGCCCAGCCCUGGUCCCGUGGAUGGUACAGCCCAGCCCUGGUCCACUGGGCUAAACUAGAAAAAGAGGUUGCUAACUAAUCCCCCAGAAAGUGGUUUAGAUUAUUGCUGACCAGCAAAAAGAUGGGAAAGCAAAAGGGUGGAGGAGACAAAAUGGAGGACAGAGAAUGAAGGGGGUAAGAGAUACGUGUUGUUUAAACAUCCAUUCAUUUGUUUAUGUAUUAAUUCUUCAGCUACACCAGUCCUCUUCUCUUCUGAUGAUCUUUCCUCCCUAAAACUCCUCUCUCAUCCUACAUCCUCUCUCCUCUUUCAUCCUCUCUCCUCUCUCAUCCUACAUCCUCUCUCAUCCUACAUCCUACAUCCUCUAUCCUCUCUCAACCUACACCCUCUCUCCUCUCUCAUCCUACAUCCUCUCUCAUCCUACAUCCUCUCUCCUCUCUCAUCCUACAUCCCCUCUCCUCUCAUCUCAUCCUUUAUCCUCUCUCAUCCUACAUCCUACAUCCUCUCUCCUCUCAUCCUUUAUCCUCUCUCAUCCUACAUCCUCUCUCCUCUCUCAUCCUACAUCCUCUUUCUCCUACAUCCUCUCUCCUACAUCCCCUCUCCUCUCUCUCCUCCAUGCCUACAUCCUCUCUCCUACAUCCCUACAUCCUCUCUCCUCUCUCUCCUCCAUUCCUACAUCCUCUCUCCUCUCUCUCCUCCAUCCUCUCCUCUCUCUCCUCCAUUCCUCCAUCCUCUCCUCGCUCUCCUCCAUUCCUAUAUCCUCUCUCCCCUCUCUCCGCUCUCCUCCAUUCCUACAUCCCCUCUCCUCACUCUCCUCCAUUCCUACAUCCCCCUCUUCUCUCUCUCCUCCAUCCCUAUAUUCCCAUGCCUAUAACUGUGCUGUGACUGUCACUGGUGUAGUGAAUAGUCUAGUCUAGUGUGCGUAUGCUUGUAUGAAUAGAGCUGCUGACUCCAUUGUGUGUUCAGGGCAACAGAUAAAGCUCAAUGAAAGACUAUUUGAAAUGGCUCAGACAAUGAUCUGAGGAACAUAGAGACAUGGACCACACUACCAUACCUGCAAUGUCACCUGUCCGUCUCGUUGGGGCUCGGUGUGGGCGUGUGAGGGGACCGGUGUGUGGGGGCGGAGAGAUGUUUCCCCCCCAAGCACACAGAGAGCUCAUUACAGCACUGUGGCACGCAGAGCGUGGCGGCACGUCCCAAAAAUAUACUCAUUUCCAAAAUAACAACCCCAAACCACCCCCCCCCACAUUAAUAAUGUAGGAGUAGACGGACCAACGACUUUAAACAGCACCACAUUAAUAAUGUAGGAGUAGACGGAUCAACGACUUUAAACAGCACCACAUUAAUAAUGUAGGGGUAGACAGACCAACGACUUUAAACAGCACCACAUUAAUAAUGUAGGGGUAGACGGACCAACGACUUUAAACAGCACCACAUUAAUAUUGUAGGAGUAGACGGACCAACGACUUUAAACAGCACCACAUUAAUAAUGUAGGGGUAGAUGGACCAACGACUUCAAACAGCACCACAUUAAUAAUUUAGGGGUAGACGGAUCAACGACUUUAAACAGCACCACAUUAAUAAUGUAGGGGUAGACAGACCAACGACUUUAAACAGCACCACAUUAAUAAUGUAGGGGUAGACGGACCAACGACUUUAAACAGCACCACAUUAAUAAUGUAGGAGUAGACGGACCAACGACUUUAAACAGCACCACAUUAAUAAUGUAGGAGUAGACGGACCAACGACUUUAAACAGCACCACAUUAAUAAUGUAGGGGUAGACGGACCAACGACUUUAAACAGCACCACAUUAAUAAUUUAGGGGUAGACGGACCAACGACUUUAAACAGCACCACAUUAAUAAUGUAGGAGUAGACGGACCAACGACUGUAAACAGCACCACAUUAAUAAUUUAGGGGUAGACGGACCAACGACUUUAAACAGCACCACAUUAAUAAUGUAGGGGUAGACAGACCAACGACUUCAAACAGCACCACAAACAAAGGAGAGAAAGAACUGAGGACAUUAUAGUUCUAACGGCUGGUAUAGUGGUCUGAUAUGGCUGGUAUAGUGGUCUGAUACGGCUGGUAUAGUGGUCUGAUACGGCUGGUAUAGUGGUCUCACCAUACGGCUGGUAUAGAGGUCUGAUACAGCUGGUAUAGUGGUCUGAUACGGCUGGUAUAGUGGUCUGAUACGG
Long non-coding RNA from Oncorhynchus tshawytscha (Chinook salmon), 2222 nucleotides. The record is from Ensembl. NCBI's taxonomy places the organism in Eukaryota, Metazoa, Chordata, Actinopteri, Salmoniformes, Salmonidae.